RNAcentral lists this ribosomal RNA (1370 nucleotides) under uncultured bacterium. Its description in RNAcentral is "bacterial SSU rRNA". It matches the Rfam family "Bacterial small subunit ribosomal RNA", at positions 28 to 1381 of the family's 1533-position model. The record is from RNAcentral.
GACGAACGCUGGCGGCGUGCCUAAUACAUGCAAGUAGAACGCUGAAGAGAGGAGCUUGCUCUUCUUGGAUGAGUUGCGAACGGGUGAGUAACGCGUAGGUAACCUGCCUUGUAGCGGGGGAUAACUAUUGGAAACGAUAGCUAAUACCGCAUAACAAUGGAUGACACAUGUCAUUUAUUUGAAAGGGGCAAUUGCUCCACUACAAGAUGGACCUGCGUUGUAUUAGCUAGUAGGUGAGGUAAUGGCUCACCUAGGCGACGAUACAUAGCCGACCUGAGAGGGUGAUCGGCCACACUGGGACUGAGACACGGCCCAGACUCCUACGGGAGGCAGCAGUAGGGAAUCUUCGGCAAUGGGGGCAACCCUGACCGAGCAACGCCGCGUGAGUGAAGAAGGUUUUCGGAUCGUAAAGCUCUGUUGUAAGUCAAGAACGGGUGUGAGAGUGGAAAGUUCACACUGUGACGGUAGCUUACCAGAAAGGGACGGCUAACUACGUGCCAGCAGCCGCGGUAAUACGUAGGUCCCGAGCGUUGUCCGGAUUUAUUGGGCGUAAAGCGAGCGCAGGCGGUUUGAUAAGUCUGAAGUUAAAGGCUGUGGCUCAACCAUAGUUCGCUUUGGAAACUGUCAAACUUGAGUGCAGAAGGGGAGAGUGGAAUUCCAUGUGUAGCGGUGAAAUGCGUAGAUAUAUGGAGGAACACCGGUGGCGAAAGCGGCUCUCUGGUCUGUAACUGACGCUGAGGCUCGAAAGCGUGGGGAGCGAACAGGAUUAGAUACCCUGGUAGUCCACGCCGUAAACGAUGAGUGCUAGGUGUUGGAUCCUUUCCGGGAUUCAGUGCCGCAGCUAACGCAUUAAGCACUCCGCCUGGGGAGUACGACCGCAAGGUUGAAACUCAAAGGAAUUGACGGGGGCCCGCACAAGCGGUGGAGCAUGUGGUUUAAUUCGAAGCAACGCGAAGAACCUUACCAGGUCUUGACAUCCCGAUGCUAUUUCUAGAGAUAGAAAGUUACUUCGGUACAUCGGUGACAGGUGGUGCAUGGUUGUCGUCAGCUCGUGUCGUGAGAUGUUGGGUUAAGUCCCGCAACGAGCGCAACCCCUAUUGUUAGUUGCCAUCAUUCAGUUGGGCACUCUAGCGAGACUGCCGGUAAUAAACCGGAGGAAGGUGGGGAUGACGUCAAAUCAUCAUGCCCCUUAUGACCUGGGCUACACACGUGCUACAAUGGUUGGUACAACGAGUUGCGAGUCGGUGACGGCGAGCUAAUCUCUUAAAGCCAAUCUCAGUUCGGAUUGUAGGCUGCAACUCGCCUACAUGAAGUCGGAAUCGCUAGUAAUCGCGGAUCAGCACGCCGCGGUGAAUACGUUAACCGGGCCU